UCCGGUGUGGUGUAAUGGCUAUCAUACUGCGCUUUCACUAGAGAGUGCCGCAGGGACCGGGGUUCGAUUCCCCGCAUCGGAG
This 82-nucleotide transfer RNA is filed under the name Claviceps arundinis. Its description in RNAcentral is "tRNA-Glu". It matches the Rfam family "tRNA". From Rfam's summary of the family: Transfer RNA (tRNA) molecules are approximately 80 nucleotides in length. Their secondary structure includes four short double-helical elements and three loops (D, anti-codon, and T loops). The record is from RNAcentral. Lineage: Eukaryota; Fungi; Ascomycota; Sordariomycetes; Hypocreales; Clavicipitaceae.